GAUGAACGCUGGCGGCGUGCCUAAUACAUGCAAGUCGAGCGGUAAGGCUCCUUCGGAGUACACGAGCGGCGGACGGCUGAGUAACGCGUAGGAACGUACCCCAAACUGAGGGAUAACUGCUCGAAAGAGUAGCUAAUACCGCAUGUGCUCUACGGAGUAAAGCUACGGCGGUUUGGGAACGGCCUGCGUACGAUUAGAUUGUUGGUGAGGUAAUGGCUCACCAAGUCGACGAUCGUUAGCUGGUCUGAGAGGAUGAUCAGCCAGACUGGGACUGAGAACGGCCCAGACUCCUACGGGAGGCAGCAGUAGGGAAUUUUCCACAAUGGACGAAAGUCUGAUGGAGCAACGCCGCGUGCAGGAUGAAUGCCUUCGGGUUGUAAACUGCUUUUAUCUGUGACGAAUAUGACGGUAGCAGAUGAAUAAGGAUCGGCUAACUCCGUG
RNAcentral lists this ribosomal RNA (441 nucleotides) under uncultured bacterium. Its description in RNAcentral is "bacterial SSU rRNA". It matches the Rfam family "Bacterial small subunit ribosomal RNA", at positions 28 to 507 of the family's 1533-position model. The record is from RNAcentral.